This 953-nucleotide ribosomal RNA is filed under the name marine bacterium AK16_048. Its description in RNAcentral is "bacterial SSU rRNA". It matches the Rfam family "Bacterial small subunit ribosomal RNA", at positions 68 to 1029 of the family's 1533-position model. The record is from RNAcentral.
GUGAAAGCCCAGCUUGCUGGGUGGAUCAGUGGCGAACGGGUGAGUAACACGUGAGCAAUCUGCCCCUGACUCUGGGAUAAGCGCUGGAAACGGCGUCUAAUACUGGAUACGAGCUGCGAUCGCAUGGUCAGUAGCUGGAAAGAUUUUUUGGUCAGGGAUGAGCUCGCGGCCUAUCAGCUUGUUGGUGAGGUAAUGGCUCACCAAGGCGUCGACGGGUAGCCGGCCUGAGAGGGUGACCGGCCACACUGGGACUGAGACACGGCCCAGACUCCUACGGGAGGCAGCAGUGGGGAAUAUUGCACAAUGGGCGCAAGCCUGAUGCAGCAACGCCGCGUGAGGGAUGACGGCCUUCGGGUUGUAAACCUCUUUUAGCAGGGAAGAAGCGAAAGUGACGGUACCUGCAGAAAAAGCGCCGGCUAACUACGUGCCAGCAGCCGCGGUAAUACGUAGGGCGCAAGCGUUAUCCGGAAUUAUUGGGCGUAAAGAGCUCGUAGGCGGUUUGUCGCGUCUGCUGUGAAAUCCCGAGGCUCAACCUCGGGUCUGCAGUGGGUACGGGCAGACUAGAGUGCGGUAGGGGAGAUUGGAAUUCCUGGUGUAGCGGUGGAAUGCGCAGAUAUCAGGAGGAACACCGAUGGCGAAGGCAGAUCUCUGGGCCGUAACUGACGCUGAGGAGCGAAAGGGUGGGGAGCAAACAGGCUUAGAUACCCUGGUAGUCCACCCCGUAAACGUUGGGAACUAGUUGUGGGGUCCAUUCCACGGAUUCCGUGACGCAGCUAACGCAUUAAGUUCCCCGCCUGGGGGAGUACGGCCGCAAGGCUAAAACUCAAAGGAAUUGACGGGGGACCCGCACAAGCGGCGGAGCAUGCGGAUUAAUUCGAUGCAACGCGAAGAACCUUACCAAGGCUUGACAUACACCAGAACACCGUAGAAAUACGGGACUCUUUUGGACACUG